GAGGCUAAUGUUUUGAUGAACUCCUCUGGUCAGUUGUGGACGCGCUCACGUGGUUUGGGAACGCGCUGUUGGACUCACCUGCGCGCUCGUGGACACACCCAUACCUGGAAGAUUCAGGAAAUCUGGGAUUGUACACAGAAUUGGGCUGUUCAGUCGUUCUGUGUAGGUGUCCUGUCCGAUAUAGAUCCCACCGAGCCCCGUGUGUGUGUCUCAGAGUUCAUGCAUCUCCAGAAUCUGCUCUUCUGAAGUGACCAGUCCAACCAAAUAGAGUUAUUCCGGUCACGGCGUUCCCGAAGGUUUUCCUUGACCCCUGAAGCUCAGUAUUUGUGUCUGCGACGCCUCUCUGCUCCCAGCUACCCGGCUCUUUUACAGAACCCAGUCAUGGAGGAGACGGUGUGGGAGCAGUACACUGUGACCCUGCAGCGGG
Long non-coding RNA from Carassius auratus (goldfish), 427 nucleotides. RefSeq lists it as uncharacterized. The record is from RefSeq and is a predicted model, not a curated record. NCBI's taxonomy places the organism in Eukaryota, Metazoa, Chordata, Actinopteri, Cypriniformes, Cyprinidae. The transcript has 3 exons.